CUUUCUUUGUCUCUCAACUCAAUCCAAUCAUCAUAUCAGGAACAGCCGAUGAAUUGUCAAUGUCAAUCUGACAGCGUGACAUUUGAUGGAAGCUGUCGACUUAGCAGCUUUGGCAAUGAUUGAGAAUUUCAAUCUUCGAUCAACAAUAGUAACUAGAUUUCGGGUCGGUGCAGAAAAUCCGUCUCGUCAAAUAACAGCUCACUUGAAAUGUGAGCUGUUAUUUUGUUUAGUUCACUUCAAACACAGCCAAUGUCAACCCGUCUCACAAUACCGCAAUGUGUAUUCAAAAGUUGCAAAAAUAAUGCGCGAAAAAGCAAUUUAACGGCCGGAGUAUCUUACUUUCGCUUUCCUAGCAAUCACGUGUGCAGAAUGGAUCUCGAUUGUCGCCAGAGAAACAAGAGAUGACUUUUAUAAGCCAGCUAAGAUCUCCGUUUAUUGACACUGGACAUCUUUGCCUUCCGUGCUCACGGCUACUGAAACGUGGCCGAAACAUUGGAAUAAAAAUACCGCGCUUGAAACCGUUUAAA
Bombyx mori (domestic silkworm) is the source of this 527-nucleotide long non-coding RNA. RefSeq lists it as uncharacterized. The transcript has 2 exons. NCBI's taxonomy places the organism in Eukaryota, Metazoa, Arthropoda, Insecta, Lepidoptera, Bombycidae. The record is from RefSeq and is a predicted model, not a curated record.